UAGGGGGAAGGCGAGCGA
RNAcentral lists this ribosomal RNA (18 nucleotides) under uncultured Melanogastraceae. RNAcentral describes it as "partial 18S ribosomal RNA". The record is from RNAcentral. Lineage: Eukaryota; Fungi; Basidiomycota; Agaricomycetes; Boletales; Melanogastraceae.